UCUUAUGAUCAAAUGGCAAUGGUGAUUAACUCAAUCCGAAUACUAGGCUACUAAGAUAAAUGAUCAUAUCAUAAUCAUGCAUCUAAUCUUAUUAGAUCAAAAUAAAACAUCACCAAAAAUUAUGCAUCUAAUCCUAUUAGAUCAUAACAUAACAUUACCAAAAAUAAUUCAGAUCUGAACCUAAAUUUAAACAUCAUAUGAAUCAUUCAUUUU
Molecule: long non-coding RNA, 213 nt
Filed under: Elaeis guineensis (African oil palm)
Lineage: Eukaryota; Viridiplantae; Streptophyta; Magnoliopsida; Arecales; Arecaceae
Description: long non-coding RNA (EGUI_LNC021663)
Source: RNAcentral